UACGUAGGGUGCAAGCGUUAUCCGGAAUUAUUGGGCGUAAAGAGCUCGUAGGCGGUUUGUCGCGUCUGCUGUGAAAACUGGAGGCUCAACCUCCAGCCUGCAGUGGGUACGGGCAGACUAGAGUGCGGUAGGGGAGAUUGGAAUUCCUGGUGUAGCGGUGGAAUGCGCAGAUAUCGGGAGGAACACCAGUGGCGAAGGCGAGUCUCUGGGAUGAUGCUGACGCUGAGGCGCGAAAGCCAGGGGAGCAAACGGG
RNAcentral lists this ribosomal RNA (253 nucleotides) under uncultured bacterium. RNAcentral describes it as "partial 16S ribosomal RNA". It matches the Rfam family "Bacterial small subunit ribosomal RNA", at positions 524 to 776 of the family's 1533-position model. The record is from RNAcentral.